Dioscorea cayenensis subsp. rotundata (Guinea yam) is the source of this 107-nucleotide small nucleolar RNA. NCBI's taxonomy places the organism in Eukaryota, Viridiplantae, Streptophyta, Magnoliopsida, Dioscoreales, Dioscoreaceae. The record is from RefSeq and is a predicted model, not a curated record.
AACCCAUGUUGAGUACAAUUCCGCAAGAGGUCCUUGAAUCACUCCCAAGCCUCAAACAAGGAUUCAACCUCCAUCUAAAUAAAUGAUGAUAUCUCAUUGCGAAGCUU